CGUGUAGGCGGCUAAUUAAGUCUGAUGUGAAAUACCAAGGCUCAACUUUGGAACUGCAUCGGAAACUGGAUAGCUAGAGUGUGGGAGAGGAAAGCGGAAUUCUCAGUGUAGCGGUGAAAUGCGUAGAUAUUGAGAGGAACACCGGUGGCGAAGGCGGCUUUCUGGACCAUAACUGACGCUGAGGCGCGAAAGCGUGGGUAGCAAACA
Molecule: ribosomal RNA, 207 nt
Filed under: uncultured bacterium
Lineage: Bacteria
Description: partial 16S ribosomal RNA
Rfam family: Bacterial small subunit ribosomal RNA
Source: RNAcentral